UACGGAGGAUGCAAGCGUUAUCCGGAAUUAUUGGGCGUAAAGCGUCCGCAGGUGGUUUAUCAAGUCUGCUGUCAAAGCGCGAGGCCUAACUUCGUAAAGGCAGUGGAAACUGAUGGACUUGAGUGUGAUAGGGGCAGAGGGGGGUAGAAUUCCACGUGUAGCAGUGAAAUGCGUAGAGAUGUGGAGGAACACCGAUGGCGAAGGCAGCCCCCUGGGUCAAGAUUGACGCUCAUGCACGAAAGCGUGGGGAGCAAACAGG
Molecule: ribosomal RNA, 259 nt
Filed under: uncultured bacterium
Lineage: Bacteria
Description: partial 16S ribosomal RNA
Rfam family: Bacterial small subunit ribosomal RNA
Source: RNAcentral